AUGGAAGCCACACUGCAAAGUGUACAGGCCAUCAGUGAAAUUUUACAAGUCUAUGAGGAAAGCUCGGGUCAGGUCAUCAAUAGAGAAAAGUCCUCUGUGAUGUUCAGUAGCAAUGCAAAGCAAAGCGCCAAAAACCUGUUAUUACAGGAAUUGCAACUUGGUGCUGAAUCAAUGAGAGGAAAAUAUUUGGGGCUGCCAACAUACAUUGGGAAGUCGGUCAAGAGAUGCUUUGCAUACAUAAAGGACGGUAUAAUGAGCAGACUUCACGGAGGGAUGGAGAGAUGCUUGUCCAUGGCAGGGAAGGAGGUGUAUGUCAAAGCAGUCGCACAGGCUAUACCGACGUAUGCUAUGGGCUGUUUCGAUCUCACUAGAUCCCUGUGUGAUGAGAUAAGCCAAUUCAUAUGCCGAUACUGGUGGAACCAACAGGCAGAGGAGAGGAAAAUGCAUUGGGUAGGAUGGGAAAAAUGA
RNAcentral lists this ribosomal RNA (468 nucleotides) under Triticum aestivum (bread wheat). Its description in RNAcentral is "partial small subunit ribosomal RNA". Lineage: Eukaryota; Viridiplantae; Streptophyta; Magnoliopsida; Poales; Poaceae. The record is from RNAcentral.